AGCUUUAUGUGUUAUAUAAAGUGACUCCUGCCCAGUGUAGUUCUAUCAACGGCCGCAGUACCCUGACUGUGCUAAGGUAGCAUAAUCAAUUGGCUUGUAAUUAAGGUCUGGAAUAAAUGGAGCUAUGGGGGAAGACUAUAUUUUUAACUUUCAAUUAAAUUUACUUAAAAGGUGAAAAUUCCUUUUUAAAUAAAAAAGACGAGAAGACCCUAAGAGCUUUAAUAAGUAGGUAGAAUGUAUCUUUUUUUUUGUUGGGGUGACAGGCUUACAUAAAACUAAGCUAAUUUCAUGACGGAAAUUUCAUGUAAGUAAAAGCUACCUUAGGGAUAACAGCAUAAUUUAUUAAUAAGAUUAUGACCUCGAUGUUGGACUAGGCACUUAAUAGUGAGAAGCUAAGUUAGCAGGUUCUGUUCGAACUUUUUAAGCCU
This 428-nucleotide ribosomal RNA is filed under the name Avakubia avakubiensis. Its description in RNAcentral is "Gulella avakubiensis partial 16S ribosomal RNA". It matches the Rfam family "Bacterial large subunit ribosomal RNA", at positions 1817 to 2596 of the family's 2925-position model. Lineage: Eukaryota; Metazoa; Mollusca; Gastropoda; Stylommatophora; Streptaxidae. The record is from RNAcentral.